UACGAAGGGGGCUAGCGUUGCUCGGAAUCACUGGGCGUAAAGCGCACGUAGGCGGCUUUUUAAGUCAGGGGUGAAAUCCUGGAGCUCAACUCCAGAACUGCCUUCGAUACUGAAGAGCUCGAGUCCGGGAGAGGUGAGUGGAACUGCGAGUGUAGAGGUGAAAUUCGUAGAUAUUCGCAAGAACACCAGUGGCGAAGGCGGCUCACUGGCCCGGUACUGACGCUGAGGUGCGAAAGCGUGGGGAGCAAACAGG
RNAcentral lists this ribosomal RNA (253 nucleotides) under uncultured bacterium. RNAcentral's name for it is "partial 16S ribosomal RNA". It matches the Rfam family "Bacterial small subunit ribosomal RNA", at positions 524 to 776 of the family's 1533-position model. The record is from RNAcentral.